This 838-nucleotide ribosomal RNA is filed under the name Nocardia ignorata. Its description in RNAcentral is "bacterial SSU rRNA". It matches the Rfam family "Bacterial small subunit ribosomal RNA", at positions 69 to 920 of the family's 1533-position model. The record is from RNAcentral. Lineage: Bacteria; Bacillati; Actinomycetota; Actinomycetes; Mycobacteriales; Nocardiaceae.
GUAAGGCCCUUCGGGGUACACGAGCGGCGAACGGGUGAGUAACACGUGGGUGAUCUGCCUUGCACUUCGGGAUAAGCCUGGGAAACUGGGUCUAAUACCGGAUAUGACCACUGAUCGCAUGGUCGGUGGUGGAAAGAUUUAUCGGUGCGAGAUGGGCCCGCGGCCUAUCAGCUUGUUGGUGAGGUAACGGCUCACCAAGGCGACGACGGGUAGCCGACCUGAGAGGGUGACCGGCCACACUGGGACUGAGACACGGCCCAGACUCCUACGGGAGGCAGCAGUGGGGAAUAUUGCACAAUGGGCGAAAGCCUGAUGCAGCGACGCCGCGUGCGGGAUGACGGCCUUCGGGUUGUAAACCGCUUUUGACAGGGACGAAGCGCAAGUGACUGUACCUGUAGAAUAAGGACCGGCCAACUACGUGCCAGCAGCCGCGGUAAUACGUAGGGUCCGAGCGUUGUCCGGAAUUACUGGGCGUAAAGAGCUUGUAGGCGGUUCGUCGCGUCGUUUGUGAAAACUUGGGGCUCAACCUUAAGCUUGCAGGCGAUACGGGCGGACUAGAGUACUUCAGGGGAGACUGGAAUUCCUGGUGUAGCGGUGAAAUGCGCAGAUAUCAGGAGGAACACCGGUGGCGAAGGCGGGUCUCUGGGAAGUAACUGACGCUGAGAAGCGAAAGCAUGGGUAGCAAACAGGAUUAGAUACCCUGGUAGUCCAUGCCGUAAACGGUGGGUACUAGGUGUGGGGCUCCUUCCACGGACUCCGUGCCGUAGCUAACGCAUUAAGUACCCCGCCUGGGGAGUACGGGCCGCAAGGCUAAAACUCAAAUGAAUUGGACGGGGGA